Molecule: ribosomal RNA, 423 nt
Filed under: uncultured bacterium
Lineage: Bacteria
Description: bacterial SSU rRNA
Rfam family: Bacterial small subunit ribosomal RNA
Source: RNAcentral
AAGACCUUGCGCUUUUGGAGCGGCCGAUGCCUGAUUAGCUUGUUGAUAAGGUAAAAGCUUACCAAGGCUUCGAUCAGUAGCUGGUCUGAGAGGACGACCAGCCACACUGGGACUGAGACACGGCCCAGACUCCUACGGGAGGCAGCAGUGGGGAAUUUUGGACAAUGGGGGCAACCCUGAUCCAGCCAUGCCGCGUGAGUGAAGAAGGCCUUCGGGUUGUAAAGCUCUUUCAGCCGGAACGAAACGGUUACGGAUAACACCCGUGACUACUGACGGUACCGGAAGAAGAAGCACCGGCUAACUACGUGCCAGCAGCCGCGGUAAUACGUAGGGUGCGAGCGUUAAUCGGAAUUACUGGGCGUAAAGCGUGCGCAGGUGGUUUUGUAAGUCAGAUGUGAAAGCCCCGGGCUCAACCUGGGAACU